CAGCAGCCGCGGUAAUACGUAGGGUGCGAGCGUUAAUCGGAAUUACUGGGCGUAAAGCGUGCGCAGGCGGUUCGUUAAGACAGAUGUGAAAUCCCCGGGCUUAACCUGGGAACUGCAUUUGUGACUGGCGGGCUAGAGUAUGGCAGAGGGGGGUAGAAUUCCACGAGUAGCAGUGAAAUACGUAGAGAUGUGGAGGAAUACCGAUGGCGAAGGCAGCCCCCUGGGCCAAUACUGACGCUCAUGCACGAAAGCGUGGGGAGCAAACAGGAUUAGAUACCCCCGUAGUCCCUGUCUCUUAUAC
Molecule: ribosomal RNA, 301 nt
Filed under: uncultured bacterium
Lineage: Bacteria
Description: partial 16S ribosomal RNA
Rfam family: Bacterial small subunit ribosomal RNA
Source: RNAcentral